CUUACCCUGAGUUUCCCACAGCACUGUGCUCUACACUCAUAUGUAUUUUCCUGGUGUAGCUGUGACCAUAAUCACUUGUGAAAGGGACUUGGGGUAGAGUGAUUUGUUCCUGACCAGAACGAGCAAUUCCUAGAUGCCUCGCAUCAUCUCACUUUAACCAAAAUGAGCUUUCUACCCUCAUGUUUCUCCCUGGAUUUGGCCAGGAAUUGUAUUGCAGAGAAGGAGACCUCUUGUGCUAAACUGAGGCCACAGAUGCCACAUCGGGCCCUUGCACAGUGUUAUAUUCUUGCCUUGGAAAAGAACUGAACACCAAAGGAGGAGCCAGGCCACCACAGGCAAUGCCAUACUGUGCUAGGAGUGUCUCUCCAAGGCAAGCCUGACACUACAGUCAUGCAGUGACUACAGUGUCUGUGAACACGUCCCAACAAGCUUUAAACUGGCAAGCACACUUCCUACUAAUACUAGGUUAGGCUUUUAUGCGUUCUUGGAGGUCAUGAUGUUAAGCAAGGAAAACAAACUCCUGUUUUCUAAUGAACUGCAAGGAUGAGUUCUGCAGAGCCUUCUCACAGCUGCUGCACUGCCAGGGCUCCUGUGCCAGCCCGACUUCAGUCCUGCGCGCUGCCUUUGCGCUGUCCAGGCUGCAAGAAUGGAUUUGAUGCUUAAAACAAUGAAAUGAAAGGAAUCCGAGGAUGGGACUGUGGAAGUCACGUGCUGGUGAGAAUAGGGUAAUCAACACAAACAUCAAGCAAAACAAUUACUGUAAUUAUGUCAAAUUUUGUUUGGGGAGUAAUGGAGCCUAAUGCACAAAUAUGACGUUAUUUUCUUGCAUCAGCCUGGUGGUCCAGGCAGGUAUAUAAAACCAUUCAUGAUUCAGAAACCUUUCAGCAGGUUCUCUUGACUUCUCCUCGGUGAACUGAGUCUACAUCACAGCUAAAAGAUGUCUUGUGAUAAAACUGUCUGCGCUGAGCCGUGUUCUGCCCCAUGUGAUGCGAAAUGCCCCGAGCCCCGUGCCGCUGCCUGCAAUGAGCCCUGCACCAUCACCUGCCCAGACUCCCGCGUGAUUAUAUUCCCACCUCCAGUGGUCGUGACCUUCCCAGGACCCAUCCUCACUACCUACCCACAAGAAACCGUCGUGGGCUCCACAGAGUCAGCUGAGCUGGCUGGUGCAUUAGAGUCGGGUGUGGCAAUAGGGUCAGCACAGAAAGGGACUGAGUGCUUGGAGCCCUGCAUCGAUCGGAGUGUCCCACAGAUUGUGGCAAAGUGCGAGCCCCAGUGCGUCCCACAGUGUGCUCCCCAGUGCGUCCCACAAUGCGCUCCCCAGUGCACUCCCCAGUGCGUCCCACAGUGCGCUCCCCAGUGUGCUCCCCAGUGCACUCCCCAGUGCGUGCCGGAGUGUUCCUACACCUAUUCCACCCGCUGGGUGCAUCCUUGUCAGAGGCCCUUCUGUUAGAAGAUGUAAUCAUCUUAGAACAGAGAAUAAUCACGGGAAAAGAACAAGCAAAGAAGUGAAAGAAUAUGGCAUGUGAUUUACAGGCAUGGUUACUGGAGAGGGAAGCAACCCCCAAACCAGGGCCCUACAUUUUAUUCCUGUAGAAUGCUUUAGCUUAGAUUAAUGCUUGCUUUAUUCUUGUGGCUUUGCAUCUUCUGCCUGUGCUUUUGACUUUCUCUACCCAGUUUGACAUUGACCAUGGCUUUAAAACAAAGCACACAUAGGGAUUUGAAUGUCAGACUCAGCAAGAAUGAGGAAAGUGAACAUCUUGAUGAAAUGUGUCACACUGGAAUGGGUAAUUAGUUUUAGUUUUUCUUGUCUCUAGAAAUAUGCUCUUCCUAGUCUGCAUUAUUCUUUCUGCAAAUGUUUAGUCCACUUUGCAUUUACAUUAAAAUGCUACUGCAUCAAA
Long non-coding RNA from Columba livia (rock pigeon), 1898 nucleotides. RefSeq lists it as uncharacterized. NCBI's taxonomy places the organism in Eukaryota, Metazoa, Chordata, Aves, Columbiformes, Columbidae. The transcript is spliced from 2 exons. The record is from RefSeq and is a predicted model, not a curated record.